AAAAAGUGAGGAAAAGUGCACAUUUCAUUUCUAGAGCUCAGCCGCAAAAGAAAUGAGCCUGGGAAUGUCUGAUACAUUCUACGACAAGAACAAAGUGCGGGGAUCGGCCAAGUUUUUG
Molecule: non-coding RNA, 118 nt
Organism: Caenorhabditis elegans
Lineage: Eukaryota; Metazoa; Nematoda; Chromadorea; Rhabditida; Rhabditidae
Source: Ensembl